AAAUUGGUUUGUCACUUGAAUGCAUUUGGAACUUUGUGAUUAGGGUUGUGGAAACCAAGAUAAUGUCUAAGUUAUAUAACAGUUCUUUCCAUAAUCAAUCACUGUCUAGUUUUAGAUCUACCUAAGAAGGUUCUUGCACACAUGGGAAUAAGCUGACUGAGGUAAUAGAUGAGGGGUGGGGAGGAAGGCAACAGAAAGCACGUUGCACUGUAAUUAUCAGAUGAGACCAUCGUGUUGAUUUCUCUUAUUUUGUGUGCUACAGUUCCAACUCACUGAUACUUUCUCUGCUCAGAAGGCAGACCCAAAAUGAAUCUGCUCAUGCCUGACACAGGAACUUGUUGUGUUACUUCCCACAAAGAGCCUCGUGGAUCCAUCUUGUUUGCAGCAGCUGGAGAGGAAAUCCCUGCUGGAGGGAUUCAGCCUCCUCUUUGCUGGAAGCCAUUCCCUGCACCAGCAGGGAGCAAGCACGAACACAGCGGAGGUUGAAAUGAGCUCUUUUAUCGGCUGCUCUCAAAUGGGGUGUUGCUUGCCUGACAGACACAUAAUCUGUGAAGAAAUCCACAGAUACAAAGUUUCUCUGACAAAUUUUCUUUGUAACUUCAAAAAUUAAUUUUAAAGCUAAAUCUUAAGUCUGAAUUCUGUGACUGUUGAAGGGCAGAUUAAAAUUGUAUCAUUAUCCUCAAUAUUGCAUUUCUGACAAAGAGGACACAUCUAGGUUCAAACACAAUGUCUGAAGGGCCUAAAUGAAGGCCUAAGGGAUAUAUUAGUAAUAGCACCGUCCUUUGGUAUGUGCAUAUAUAGCCAGGAAAAAAAAAAAAGAUACCCUUUCCAGACAAUUUCCACAUCAUUUCCUGUUUCUCCGUGACCAUGUUGAUCCCAUCACUUAUUCUCCAAUAUCAUAAACAAGUCAUAAUAUAUUAGUAAAAGCAGUUGCCGAGUUCAUAUAACUGACAGGAAUCCUGAGAAAUAGGUUAUACAGCAUUGAUCUCCCUGGAGGCCUUAAAUAACAAUCUGAAAUGUAUGGGACAGUGAUCACUGGGUUUGAUGCUGCAGUUUCAGUUUGGUAUUUUGCAAUUUAUAGUUUCCUGAUAAAUUGGAAUCCACUCAGCUGGUUCAUAUUAUGUGGGACUAUGAAACUGUCUAUGUUACACUGAAGGAUUAAAGUGAGAUGGAAAUGACUUGGAGGUGUGUAAUGACUUUGCAUACAAAAAUAACAUCAAUCCAAAAUCAUCUCCACCCCAUUAGCAGGAAUGCUACAACACAUCAUGUAGACAAUGCAUUAGUUCAGGGUGCCUCUCCACUCUAACAGGACAUUCCAGCCCCUAUUUUCAGGAUUUCCCACUUGACUGUUUGAAACUAUUGCCUUGGGCUAAAACUUGUAUUUGUAAAACAAGGUUUCAGCUUGGUGAGAUAUUAUUUUUCCACUCAUAUUUUUAACAUUGCAGAAGGGGAUGGGGGUUGAAAAUCAAGUUGUCAUUCAAUUUGUAAUGCUCUGAGAGUAUAGAAAAGACAAUUUGCAGUUUGAAAUAUACUUUUCCUUCCUAAUUAGUUUCUGGAUGUUGGUAACAAUCUGAUUUUUCUGUGAAAGAAUUCCAAUAGUACAAGUGGACAUACCAUUAAAUGUUUGCAAAAUAUUUUGGAAGGUUAUGCUUUUCAAGCUAACAUCUUUGAUACUCUAAAGACUGAAUCAGGAUUGGUGCCUAAGAAAAAGUUUGUUAAAAAUAUUAAAGUUGGCAGAGUUGUGUCAUUUGAAAA
This is a long non-coding RNA of Anas platyrhynchos (mallard), 1755 nucleotides long. RefSeq lists it as uncharacterized. NCBI's taxonomy places the organism in Eukaryota, Metazoa, Chordata, Aves, Anseriformes, Anatidae. The record is from RefSeq and is a predicted model, not a curated record.